CUCGUUUUAUCCCAUCAAUUCUUCUUUCAAUACCUGCUCAGUGUUCGUUCGAUUCUGUCUUCUUUGGGAACAGUUUCGGAUAGCCAAGGUCGAUCUUUUAGAGUUUUGAUUUCAAGAAGAGGCGAAAUCUGGAGUGGUUCUUAGUUUCUGGUACAGCAAGCGUUUGGCAACUGGGAUGGCAAUGCCCGAAGAGUUGCAAGCAAACUUGGGCCAUGGAGAAGUUGAUUCAUUGGUAAAUGGAGAUGGGAAACACAUCUUAGCUAAAACUGUAUCGAACUCAUCAUGGAAAAUGGAAGAACAUGAGCUUCAAUUUCAAAUUGCUGUGAAGGAUGAGGACCAUUCAGAAUCCAAAUUAGCAAUUGGUAGUAUCGUAAAUGACAAUAUGCUCAAAACUGAAAAACUUGAAGUAGAUGAGCUUCAGUAUGUACCUCCUGUGAAUGAUGAGAACCUUUCAGAACCAGAAGUAGAUGAGAUUCUGCUCGAAACUGAAAAAUGGAAGAGCACGAGCUCCAACUUGAAACUUAUGUGAAUGACCAUUUUAUAUCUGAAAUAGCUAUCAGUGCGCUAAUAAAUGAGAAUCUGUUAGAAGUUGAGAAAAUGGAUGAACUAGAGCUUCAACUCGAAACUUCUGUAAGAGAAAAGUCAGUUGAAUCAUCAAAUGUGAUUCAAGAGAAAGAAAGGGACAAAGAACCACGGCAACCUGUAAACAUCAGUUGUUGUUGCAUAGGGUUGCCCUUGAAAGAUUAAAGAAGGAUUUGUCAGAUUUAACCAAAGAAAAGGUGACACUAGUCCAUACUGUGGCAGACCUUAACCUGAAGUUAUCAAUGAAUGUGAAUCUAUGCAAACAAUUAGAAGACAAGUUGGAUUUGGCUUACCAGAUCCUUACCAAGACAGAGUCACUUCUUUCACAAGCAUUGCUACGUAACAAGGAGCUUGAGAAAAAGUAUAAAUUUCUUGGAAAAAUUCAUGAUGACAUGAAAAUAGCAACACAUACUGUUUAUAAUAGAAAUCUUGAGUUAGAGGAUCUACUUGAGGCAUCAAAAUUAGCCGAGCAGAGCAUUAAAGAAAACCUUUGGAAGAUUGAAAAUAGAGAUCAUACUCUGAGAAAUGUAAUGCAGUGAUCAAGCAACACAUGAAUCUUACUGAGAUGAGACGCCUUGAAGCAGAGAGGAAAAAAUAACUCAUUUCUUUUAUAAGAAAAAUUAAUGAAAAAAUCUCCCUAUCAACACUUGGUUUCGAGGAACAUGACAAUACGAUUGGCCAGUUGGAUUUUUUAUUGAACAAGUCUUUGCAUGGGAAAACAGAUCUUAGCAAGGAAAACUAUGAUCUCCAUUCUUAUGCAGAGAAUUUGGAACAUAUUACUGGAACACAUUGGCGUAGUCUUGAGCAAGAAUGUAAGUUACAAUCAUCUCAUUUGAAGUCUUAUAAUGCAAUAAAAGAAGUGGUCAGUUAAGGCUAUCACUGGAAGCAGCUAAUCAUCAAGUACAAGAGCUUGAAAAACUAGUGGCAAGUACAAAGGCUAAACGUGAAGAUGUAGAAAUCGAAUCAAAGCGAUACAUGAGCAAGGUUUCCUCACUUUUAGCUGAAAUUGAUGCCUACAAAGAAAGAACAUCAAGUCUUGAAGUUUCGUUGCAAGCUUCAAAGGAAGAGGAGAGAGAAUUAAUAGAUGCAUUGAAUGCCAACAAUGAUGAAAGAAAUAAAAUAGAAACCUUAUAUGAUAUUCAGGGAAAAGAUCAUGCUAAAGCACAGGGCAUGAUUGAGAACUUGCCCAAUAAAUUCAAAUCUGUAGAAGUGGAAAUGGAAAUUGCUGAUGAAGAAUUUGAAGGUUCCGUUCAUAGAGAGCAAGAACUAGUUGAGAAGCUUAAUUAUACUAGGCAACAACUAGUGCAUCAAGAGAAAGCUUUGGAAGAAAGUACUGCCAGGAGAAGGGAGAUGAUAUUAAUGAAUGAAGCUCUGGUAAAGGAUUUAGAGUUUAAACUUCAAAAAGCAACACUGAGUAUUAAACAAAAGGAAUCUCAAGUUAUAGAAUUGCUUGAGAAGUUAAAGUUUCUUGAAGAAGAAAAGGCAAUAUACAAAGAUGAGGCAAUUGAAGCUAAUGAGAUUAGUGCUACACUGAAGGCAGAGCUGGAGGCAAAUGCAGUGAAAUCGGUUUCCCUGAAGAACAAAGUUGAAGAGCUUAAUCAUAUAAUUUUACAAUAUCAUUCAGAAUUUGAAGAAAUGGCUUUGGAAAAUGAAAUGAUGGCUGGCACAAAUUCAAAGCUUCAGACAAGUUUGGAAGCUCAUCGGCUCAAACUUGAAGAACUAAACCAGUUUUUGAGCUUGAAUCAUUCAGAGAUGGAAGCAACUGCUAGACAGCUUGCUUCUAAUGCAAAAACCCAUGGAAAAAUUAACGGAUGAGAAUUCAGGGUUGCUAGAACUCCAGUCUGCAAUGGAAUUGCGUCUUAAGGACACUGAGGUCCAGCUGCAUGUAACAAUUGAGAAACUUGAAGGAAAAUAAUAUGAACUUACAGACUUGAAAGACAAGAUGUUUGCACAUGAAGCUCAAUUGAGGAAUUAUGAAGAUCAGUUAAGUGAAUUAACUGUCAUUGCAUCAAAUUGUAGAGAUAAGCUAGUAAGCACUCUUAAGGAAGUGCAUAAUUUGGAAACUACGAUUGAGCAACUUCAGAGAAGCUUAGAUGAAUCCAAAAAUGCAAAUGCCUAUUUAACCAGGAAAAAUCUCAGCCUAUCUCAGGAUUUGGCAGCAAAAGAGACAAAAAUGAAAGAGUUACUAAUUAAGUUUGAUACUCUUGUUAUCGAGAAAGAUGUUAUGUCCUCUCAACAUCAUUCAUUUAAGGAAGAAAUUGUAGCUCUUAUGCAGCAGAUUAACUCUGACAGGGAGAUGCACCAACUGCAGGUUGUUAUUUGUUUGCCUGAUAUUUCUUUGUGAGAAAUUAAAACAUUUUGCCUCAGUUCAUGAAAGAACAGUUCUUUUCUCCUGGGGCAAUGGUACAAUGAUUUGGCCUUCUAACGGAUAACCAAGGGAUCUAAGGUUCGAAUCUCAGCUGCAUAAGUUUUUUCAUCCCGUGAGAAGGGAGUCGAAAAAUGCUGGCUUGGAUGGGCCGAGCACUUCCUAAUUUACCCUGGUCAUCCGUGGAAAACUUCUAUGGUCCCCGGCCGGUCAUUUCAGAAUUAGUCGAUUUGAAGAGUUGAAUACCUAGUGCUAACUAAAAAGUAAUUUCAAAAAAUGAAAGAAAGUGCUUUCAUAUUUAGUUGUAAUUUUUGAAGUACAAGGUAAAAUAUUUUUAUUUGAAAUUUUUUCUCCAACAGAUGACUACCUCCUAGGAAGAAAAUAACAAUCUUUUUAAAGCUCAUAAAAAAUAUAGAAGAACUUGAAGCAAUAAUGAUCAAUUUUGAAGAACAAUUAAGUGAAUCUAAGACCACAGAAAUCUCUCUGAGAACCCACGUGGAAAAUCUUAAAGCAGAGUUAGCUGAUAGAUCACUUAUGCAAGAACAAAAUUCCAAGCUUGAACAGAAGCUAGAACUUGCCAAGAAGAGAUAUAUGGAAAAGACUAAAGGCACAAAAUUGGCUAUGGAGAAGGAAGCUAUACUGAUCAAUCAGCAGCAUGCAAGCGUAGUUGAAGAAAGAAAUAAUUUACUUCAGCAAUUGAAGAAAGUUCAAAAUGAAUUUUCUAAUCUAUGCUAAUUUCUGGUGUCACUACUUUCUCCAUCAUAGUA
This is an RNA transcript of Zingiber officinale, 3714 nucleotides long. RefSeq lists it as uncharacterized. The transcript is spliced from 4 exons. NCBI's taxonomy places the organism in Eukaryota, Viridiplantae, Streptophyta, Magnoliopsida, Zingiberales, Zingiberaceae. The record is from RefSeq and is a predicted model, not a curated record.